UACGGAGGAUGCGAGCGUCAUCCGGAAUUAUUGGGCGUAAAGAGCGCGCAGGUGGUUAAUUAAGUCUGAUGUGAAAGCCCACGGCUUAACCGUGGAGGGUCAUUGGAAACUGGUUGACUUGAGUGCAGAAGAGGGAAGUGGAAUUCCAUGUGUAGCGGUGAAAUGCGUAGAGAUAUGGAGGAACACCAGUGGCGAAGGCGGCUUCCUGGUCUGCAACUGACACUGAGGCGCGAAAGCGUGGGGAGCAAACAGG
Molecule: ribosomal RNA, 253 nt
Filed under: uncultured bacterium
Lineage: Bacteria
Description: partial 16S ribosomal RNA
Rfam family: Bacterial small subunit ribosomal RNA
Source: RNAcentral